AUACGGAGGGUGCAAGCGUUAAUCGGAAUUACUGGGCGUAAAGCGCGCGUAGGCGGUUUUGUAAGUCGGAUGUGAAAGCCCAGGGCUCAACCUUGGAAUUGCAUUCGAAACUGCAUGACUAGAGUAUGGUAGAGGGAAGUGGAAUUCCAGGUGUAGCGGUGAAAUGCGUAGAUAUCUGGAGGAACAUCAGUGGCGAAGGCGACUUCCUGGACCAAUACUGACGCUGAGGUGCGAAAGCGUGGGGAGCAAACAGGAUUAGAUACCCUAGUAGUCC
Molecule: ribosomal RNA, 274 nt
Filed under: uncultured bacterium
Lineage: Bacteria
Description: partial 16S ribosomal RNA
Rfam family: Bacterial small subunit ribosomal RNA
Source: RNAcentral